GGAAGGUUCAGGCGUUAUCCGGAUUUAUUGGGUUUAAAGGGAGCGUAGGCCGUUUGNUAAGCGUGUUGUGAAAUGUCGNNGCUCAACCUGGGCAUUGCAGCGCGAACUGCCNUACUUGAGUGUGCCAGAAGUAGGCGGAAUUCGUCGUGUAGCGGUGAAAUGCUUAGAUAUGACGAAGAACUCCGAUUGCGAAGGCAGCCUGCUGUAGCGCAACUGACGCUGAAGCUCGAAAGCGUGGGUAUCGAACAGGAUUAGAUACCCUGGUAGUCCACNCGGUAAACGAUGGAUGUUCGCUGUUUGCNUCUGACGUANNCGGCCNANCNAAAGCGUUAAGCNUCCCACCUGGGGAGU
Molecule: ribosomal RNA, 351 nt
Filed under: uncultured bacterium
Lineage: Bacteria
Description: partial 16S ribosomal RNA
Rfam family: Bacterial small subunit ribosomal RNA
Source: RNAcentral